RNAcentral lists this non-coding RNA (69 nucleotides) under marine eukaryotic metagenome. RNAcentral describes it as "Glycine riboswitch". It matches the Rfam family "Glycine riboswitch aptamer", at positions 11 to 84 of the family's 94-position model. From Rfam's summary of the family: This family represents the bacterial glycine riboswitch. Glycine riboswitches usually consist of two metabolite-binding aptamers domains with similar structures in tandem. The record is from RNAcentral.
CGGGAGAACUGGAUAAGCCAGUGCCGAAGGAGCAACCGCCUCGGAAACUCUCAGGCAAAAGGACCGAUC